GCGGACGUGAGUGAACAGUUUUUUACAAGACGCACGUGUUUUCAACGAUUUAUAUUUAUUUAUGCUGGCGAGACUUAAUUUCCGACGAAGUGGCGCGCCAAUGGUCCUGGUUUGGGACAGAGUCCAAAAUGUCCAUUCGAGAGAUGCUUAUUACGUCAUCCGUCAAAGCUGCUUUAUGAACAAAUUUGCGUUGGAGGGCGCAGAUUUCGA
This is a non-coding RNA of Drosophila kikkawai, 210 nucleotides long. The record is from RefSeq and is a predicted model, not a curated record. Lineage: Eukaryota; Metazoa; Arthropoda; Insecta; Diptera; Drosophilidae.